Long non-coding RNA from Sphaerodactylus townsendi, 2662 nucleotides. RefSeq lists it as uncharacterized. The record is from RefSeq and is a predicted model, not a curated record. Lineage: Eukaryota; Metazoa; Chordata; Lepidosauria; Squamata; Sphaerodactylidae. The transcript has 2 exons.
UAGGCACUAGGACCCAGCAGAGCAUUCUACUACAAAGAAGGUCUGGCAUGUUGAGUUCUGUGGCAGAGCAAUAUACAGCCCUACCAACAUCUUUUUCUGAGACAGACUAUCCCAGGUCCAGCAACGUUAUGUGAGGUUUUUAAGAAAACAUUGUUAGGAAUAUGACAUUAGGGAACUGACUCAUGAGAAUACAUUCAAACAAUGGGUUAAGCAUGGCCAAAAUAAUUGGGUGUUUCAGAGAGAGGCACACGCCCCCUCUUUAUGAAAGAAAAUACUUCAGGGUUCCUCAGUUUAUUUAUACAAAUGGGUUUCCAAAAGUAUAGCUAAAAUGAAAUGCAUCUUUCAGGCCAGUAGGUGGCAGUGGGUCUCUGGUUUUCUAAACUGGAGCUCCAGAAUAGGUUAGCACUGCCACAGAGACGUAUGUAACUAAACUACAACAGAUUGAAUCCCACCACCUUUUCCAUUUCCUGCCUCGCUGCAGUCCCCUGUUUUACAUCUCUUGUCCACGAAGGUCCCAUGAUCUCCAGCAUAGCCUUUUUAUCAGAAAAGAAAACACGCUGGCAGGAUCCAACCAAAUGAAUAAUGAAGAAGGGGGAGGAAUGGUUAUUGAUUGUAUUUAAUUCAUUAACAGAUGGGCAGCCCAAUCCAGAGGGUGGCCCUGAAUCCCCAUCUGGAGCCCUGUGCUGGCCUGGGUGCCCAUUCUGCCAGUGCAAGGGGCACAAGCGCUGGCAGAGGGGCAACUUACCCAGGUGGCUGGUCACCACCCAACCCUGAAGCCAUCACCCAGGCCCGCAGUUGCAAAGCGCUGCACUGGGGACAGGGCUGACCUUAGUCGAUCUCUACCACCUGGCUGAACCCUGUGCACUGGUGGAGAUACGUCACGUUACUUGUGGCUUACUCCUAUUUUCCCCUAUGGAGAAUUCUCAGGGCUUUGGGGGUCUUUUAAACUUUCUUGGGCUUCCUGCACUGCGGAAAAGCCCUUUGGAGAGGCCGGAGGGUGCCGCCCUCACCCACCGAGCUCUUCUGGAUUGCGCAGUUGGAAGACCAUGCCAAGAAAUGUUGGCAUAUGACAACUUCAGUUGUACAUACCCACUCCUAGCUCCUUUAAGACUGAGAUAUAUUAGGAUGAGUAGAAUCGGGUUGGCUCACUGAAGGCCUCACAGCAGAUCUGAGCUCAGAGGCACUGUCCCCUUACUCCUGAUAACCAUAAAGUUAAAUUAAGAUUCAGCAGCAAAUUUGUCUUCAGCUUUACUAGCAAAUAUUUGUUUUUCAAAGCAAGGUAGAUAGUAGUGUUGGUCUGCAGUAGAAGAGCAAGAUUUGAGUCUAGUAGCCUUAAGAGUCCAAAAAAAAAAUUCAGGGUAUAAACUUGCAAGGGUCAAAGCUCCCUUGAAUCUGAUGAAGGAGUUUUAACUCUCGAAAACUUAUACCCUGAAAAUUUUGUGGGUCUUUAGGUUCUACUGGACUUGAAUCUUCUAAAGCCGCAAGACACUCAAUAUCUUAAAAGGGAGUCCCAAGCUUACACAUUUGUUUUAAAAUGUUGUGUGAUCAUAUGCUUGGUAGCAAAGAUUGGUAUGCAGAACCACAAAUCCACAAGCAAGUUUCAGAUAUAAUACAGGUGCAAUGAAGGAGCAUUACAUAAACUACACAUGGAUAACAAUGUAAAUCUUAAAAUAUGUCACUUUAAAACUUUCACGAGUGAAAAAAGUACAUACAGCUAACCCAUAAAAUGGUGUAGACGACAGAGAACGGAGUUGCAGAAAGAAGUGUGAUAGUCUGAUUCAGUUUGUACCUCAUGUAAGAGGCAGCAAUUCGAUGCUUUCAUAUAAUCCCCAAAGGGCUAGAGCCGCUAGUCCAUUCUGCCUUUUUUUCAAUAACAUUUUAUCACUAAGGUGUUCAGAUCUAAUAAUAGCCCAAAAUGUCAAGUCUGUUGGACCACGGGUAUGCAAAGGGGCACCUGUUUUUUAAAGAUGGAUAUUAAUUUUGUAUUGUGCUAUGUGCAUUUUCAGUUUUCUCUAAAUAUUACCAACACCGAACUUCUUACCUGAUCAUACAUUGAUUGGUUUGUUCAAAAUUACGGACAGUGCAUUGUUUCUAAUUAUUCGGAUUAAUAAUUUUUUUUUCAUGCAGCUUGUAAACUUGCAGAAUGAAUAGUUUCCACAAGGACAGUGUUCUAAGGUGUCAAACCGGCUGAAGAAUGGCAGCAUUUGGUCCUGACUGCCUUGCCAUAACAAAACAAUAUCAGCUGUGAAGUACCAUGUUAUAAUAAGUUCCAAAAAAGGAUUCUCAGGAGGAUUAUCAGAAUGUUUGGUCAUGUGAUGCGAUCAAAUUCGCUAGAAAAAUCUAUGAUGCUCGGACUUCUCAGUGGCGGGAGAAGAUCUGGACGUCAAAGAAUAUGAUGGCUAAAUACCAUAAAAGCUGAUACAAGCAUGAACAUCAACCAGCUGAAGGAAGCAGUACUUAAUCGAAAAAUGUGGAAAGAGCUUGCAUAUCGGGUCGCCAAGGGUUGAGAACGACUGAAUGGAUAACAUCAUCGUCAUCACUGAUAAAUCUACUUAAUCUCCAGAUUUAGUGAAUUUUAUGACAUUGAUUUUGCAUUGACUUUCUGCUCUCUUGCCUUUUUUCCUGCUUAUACAUGUUCAAUAAAGAUCAAAUCAUCCCUCUA